GGGGGUGUAGCGCAGUUGGUAGCGCGUCUCAUUUGCAUUGAGAAGGUCCAGGGUUCAAUUCCCUGCGUCUCCA
RNAcentral lists this transfer RNA (73 nucleotides) under Kwoniella heveanensis CBS 569. RNAcentral's name for it is "tRNA-Ala (TGC) (tRNA-Ala-TGC-1-1)". It matches the Rfam family "tRNA". From Rfam's summary of the family: Transfer RNA (tRNA) molecules are approximately 80 nucleotides in length. Their secondary structure includes four short double-helical elements and three loops (D, anti-codon, and T loops). The record is from RNAcentral. RNAcentral also lists the same sequence under 1 other name. Lineage: Eukaryota; Fungi; Basidiomycota; Tremellomycetes; Tremellales; Cryptococcaceae.